CUACGGGUCGCUCCAGUGGGGAAUCUUAGACAAUGGGCGCAAGCCUGAUCUAGCCAUGCCGCGUGAGUGACGAAGGCCUUAGGGUCGUAAAGCUCUUUCGCUGGGGAAGAUAAUGACGGUACCCAGUAAAGAAACCCUGGCUAACUCCGUGCCAGCAGCCGCGGUAAUACGGAGGGGGUUAGCGUUGUUCGGAAUUACUGGGCGUAAAGCGCGCGUAGGCGGAUCAGAAAGUUGGGGGUGAAAUCCCGGGGCUCAACCCCGGAACUGCCUUCAAAACUCCUGGUCUUGAGUUCGAGGGAGGUGAGUGGAAUUCCGAGUGUAGAGGUGAAAUUCGUAGAUAUUCGGAGGAACACCAGUGGCGAAGGCGGCUCACUGGCUCGAUACUGACGCUGAGGUGCGAAAGCGUGGGGAGCAAACAGGAUUAGAUACCCUCGUAGUC
RNAcentral lists this ribosomal RNA (439 nucleotides) under uncultured bacterium. Its description in RNAcentral is "partial 16S ribosomal RNA". It matches the Rfam family "Bacterial small subunit ribosomal RNA", at positions 339 to 795 of the family's 1533-position model. The record is from RNAcentral.